GAGGGGAAGGAGACAGGGAUGGGAAGGUACCUUAACACUAUAUAAUGGAUAUGGCCCAACAGUUGGCACUAAUUUGGACGGAUGCCCAUUUGGUGAGGUGGCUACUGGAUGAGAUUUUACGACGAAGUUGAGGUGAUGGAUCUCACCCUAAAGACCUAUGAACUCACUUAUUUUCUUCUUAGGGGUUAGAAAGCUCCAAACUUCCUCAUCCAUUAUAAGAACACCACUAUUGAACUUUUACAACU
Molecule: long non-coding RNA, 245 nt
Organism: Telopea speciosissima
Lineage: Eukaryota; Viridiplantae; Streptophyta; Magnoliopsida; Proteales; Proteaceae
Exons: 2
Source: RefSeq, a predicted model, not a curated record